Molecule: ribosomal RNA, 695 nt
Filed under: uncultured Bacteroidales bacterium
Lineage: Bacteria; Pseudomonadati; Bacteroidota; Bacteroidia; Bacteroidales
Description: bacterial SSU rRNA
Rfam family: Bacterial small subunit ribosomal RNA
Source: RNAcentral
AACGCUAGCUACAGGCUUAACACAUGCAAGUCGAGGGGCAGCAUGGUCUUAGCUUGCUAAGGCCGAUGGCGACCGGCGCACGGGUGAGUAACGCGUAUCCAACCUGCCUUACACUCUUGGACAGCCUUCUGAAAGGGAGAUUAAUACAAGAUGUUAUCAUGAGUAAGCAUUUUCGCAUGAUUAAAGGUUUACCGGUGUAAGAUGGGGAUGCGUUCCAUUAGAUAGUAGGCGGGGUAACGGCCCACCUAGUCUUCGAUGGAUAGGGGUUCUGAGAGGAAGGUCCCCCACAUUGGAACUGAGACACGGUCCAAACUCCUACGGGAGGCAGCAGUGAGGAAUAUUGGUCAAUGGACGAGAGUCUGAACCAGCCAAGUAGCGUGAAGGAUGAAGGUUCUAUGGAUUGUAAACUUCUUUUAUACGGGAAUAAACGAAUCCACGUGUGGGGUUUUUGCAUGUACCGUAUGAAUAAGGAUCGGCUAACUCCGUGCCAGCAGCCGCGGUAAUACGGAGGAUCCGAGCGUUAUCCGGAUUUAUUGGGUUUAAAGGGAGCGUAGAUGGGUUGUUAAGUCAGUUGUGAAAGUUUGCGGCUCAACCGUAAAAUUGCAAUUGAUACUGGCAGUCUUGAGUACAGUUGAGGUAGGCGGAAUUCGUGGUGUAGCGGUGAAAUGCUUAGAUAUCACGAAGAACUCCGAUUG